RNAcentral lists this ribosomal RNA (162 nucleotides) under uncultured Russula. RNAcentral describes it as "partial 28S ribosomal RNA". It matches the Rfam family "Eukaryotic large subunit ribosomal RNA", at positions 1 to 157 of the family's 3401-position model. Lineage: Eukaryota; Fungi; Basidiomycota; Agaricomycetes; Russulales; Russulaceae. The record is from RNAcentral.
CAUUGACCUCAAAUCGGGUGAGACUACCCGCUGAACUUAAGCAUAUCAAUAAGCGGAGGAAAAGAAACUAACAAGGAUUCCCCUAGUAACUGCGAGUGAAGCGGGAAAAGCUCAAAUUUAAAAUCUGGUGGUCUUUGGCCAUCCGAGUUGUAAUUUAGAGAA